Oncorhynchus kisutch (coho salmon) is the source of this 3114-nucleotide long non-coding RNA. RefSeq lists it as uncharacterized. The record is from RefSeq and is a predicted model, not a curated record. The transcript has 3 exons. NCBI's taxonomy places the organism in Eukaryota, Metazoa, Chordata, Actinopteri, Salmoniformes, Salmonidae.
UGUUUAGCUGAAGGGGGGAAACCAUCUGCCUCCAUCUCCUGAAAGAACACAUUAAACUCUGCUUCACCCCUGGUCAGCAUCAUAGAGACAGUACAGAACCAUGAUAGCUCCUACCAAGAAGCAGUCUGGUAAUUUGGGGAUGAACAUCGCUCAUAUCCUGACGAUUGCAGGCAUCUGUACCAUUCCUAUCCUCCUGACCAUCACAUGUGUAGUGAGGGGAGUGUAGUGAGAGGAGGAAUCAGGGCCACAGAAUAUUACAAUUGCAUUGAGAAGGAAUAUGUCUUGGGGGAUGUUCCUGUUCUCGAUCCUAACAACCAGUCAUGGAGAUAGGGGCCUCCUUGGCAAAGGUAAGCCCGGACCAGACACAGACGAGAAACAGCUUCACUGCCUUGAAUACAGAGGUUCUGGCAUCUUCUUCCCCGGGGGCUUCCAAUUCGAGAUCUGAUCCAGAGGUACCUGAGCCUACGUCCUCUGUUCUGUCUCCUUUUCCGGUGGCUUCUACCUCAGGUUCAGAUCCUCAGAGCUCCCCCUCAUCGGACAGUGAGGCUGUCUAAGACUCUGGCCCAUUCAUCAUCCACGAUGGAUACUACAGCUGGCUCCGGUCCAUCGGACACCACCACCCUUUGUUCCUCGAGGGGUCUGUGAAACCACUCAAGGCUAAAGAACGGCCAGACUACCUCAGCCAUUGCACCAGCUUUUAUCAUUGGCAGCUCUAUGGUAAGAAACAUCUUGGUCCCGUGGCAAGAACCCUGUGCUAUCCUGGAGCACGAGUACAGGUCAUUACAAGGCUGCUUCCGACCAUUCUACGACAGCUGACGGGAGCUGACGCUGUCAUAGUCCAUGUGGGGUCAAACGACAUUAGGAGGGCUAGCUUGGAACUGCUAAAAAUGGAUUUGAUUCUAGCUUGUUGGGCCGAGGGUAUAAAAGAUUCAGCAGGCUAAUGGCGUUACACACCUGGCUAAACGUUUACUGUAGCUCUGUUGGAAUAACCUUUAUAUUUAACUUUGACACUUUAUGGAAACAGAAGAUGCUCUACGGUGUCAUGACUGUCCUGUGAGGAUCAGAAUGGGUCAGAUCAGACUGCUGGGGGAGGGGACAGUAACCAGUCCUUUCUCUCUCCCACAAAGGGGAGAGGGGGAGCUGCUGAAUGGUCGACCGUUCACUCUCAGUCAUUAAUUAAGCAGAAGAGAACUCUCUCUUUACUCUUUAGUUAAAGGGAUGUCUUUGUUUACAGACACUUUUGCCCGCCCAAAACUCUUGAUGUCCAAAAGUGGAAAAUGGAACAAUAAUUCUAACAUGGGGAUUGUGGGAAAUGGUCAGGGGGGAGAUGUAGAGAACUAACGUCAUAUUGUUUUUCAUUUUGGGAUGAUAUUAAAAACUGUAUGGACCAAAUACUGUAACUUGGAAAGGAUAACCUGUUAAUCUGUUAAGUUUCCAUCCAAUACAUUGUGCACAUAAUAAUAAAAAUGUAUUUUUUGUUAUGAUAGGAAUGUGAUUUAGGAGUCAUAAGAGAUAACUUCUAAUCAUAUCCUUUGCACAUUAAGUAGCCACGCCUCGAGUGAGGUCAGAGAGCUUGUCAGCAUGACGGAACGCUCCUUUUGGCCAGAGUGCAUAAAAAGCCUUGGUAACAAAAUUAACAUUAGACCAGGAAAUGUGAGGCGAGAGCCACAUAUUUUAAAUUGUUGAAACUCUGAACCUCAACACAAAUAAAAUAAACUCACUUUAUUUUAGACCAGAGAGACAAAGAGCUGCAGCUCAUGUCCAUCGUGGUCUGAAUCCUGAAUACCAACGCGAGGAGGAAGAGGCGAGAAGCUCACCUCAGACAAUAUCUGAUACAGCUGAUUAGCUGUCUUAAAUCAGAUAUUGAGAAAGCGAAUCUAAGUCAGACUAUCCUACUACGCUCAUCACAAAUGGGAACCGUCGACAUGGCUGGUUAUCUUCCAGAGUGAACAAAAGUAGAAGACGGGAAAGGGGAAACUCCUAUUUCAGACAAUCAGAGCCAUACACCUGGAAGGCCCACAACCUUCCGAAGGAGGGCUGUUCACAACAACACAAAGGUAGCAGCUUAUGGGGAUCCUUAACAAAUACAAAUACAAGGCUCCCCAACAGGCCCCACCCGCUCGCUUAACCCAGAAGCCAGCUGCACCAAUGUGUUGGACGAAACAUCGUUCAUCCACAACAAGCCACAAACAUCGCCCGGCCAGCCACAAGGUGUCGCUAGAGCGCAAUGAGCCAAGUGAAGCCCCCCAACCGCCAAACCCGCCCCUAACCCGGAAGACGCUGGGCCAAUUGUGCACCACCCUAUAGGACUCCCGGUCACGGCCAGUAGUGACAAAGCCUGGGUUCGAACCACAGGCUGUAGUGAUACCGCAACACUGCGAUGCAGUGUCUUAGACGGCUAUGUCACUCGGGAGGCCCAACACAGACCUUUUUUUAUUUGCCUGUGCUACAAAUGCCUAUAUCGGUCUGCUAAUAAAGGACUAGUAAAGGUCCAGUGCACUACUUUUGCGGAAAAAAAUAAUGUAAAAAAUCUUUGUUAUUAUUAAGAAUUUGUGAUUUUUCAGGGGGUGCUGCAUCACCCUCCGCACACCUACUUCCCACGGCUGUGAUGUGUUGUGUCAUCUGCAGGAUGUUUAUACUUAUGACUGCCUCUGUUUGCAGAAACAUCUCAGGAUACAGAAGUGGAACUGAGUGAGCUGAGAAUACAGGAAGCUGAUGUAGAUCAACAAAGCAGUAUUUGUGACUCUAUGACCUGAUGAUGUGAUCAAAUUGACAAAAUCAUAUCAGCUGUGUAACAUCUCUUUGUCUGCCCUUGAAUAAUAUCUAUUGAGGCAGAACGUUUAAUGUGAAAUGUAUAUCAACUGUAGCUGUUGAACACAACUUUGUUGCUUGCGUAAAUGAAUACAGUCAAGAAUGGAGAACUGCUUCAGUAAUUUAUUGAUCAGAAGAUGGCAGUAUUGUAACACACUGAAAGUGAAAGUAGCUAAAGAAAAUGGUUGCAACUGUUAAUGAACUCUAAUAGUGAAAGACUGAAAAGCAUCAGUCAUCAGGUGAAUGUUUCUUACCACAGGUGGUGCUGUACUAAGUUAGUCCACGUCCAUGUUAUAUUAAAGA